Molecule: ribosomal RNA, 480 nt
Filed under: uncultured bacterium
Lineage: Bacteria
Description: bacterial SSU rRNA
Rfam family: Bacterial small subunit ribosomal RNA
Source: RNAcentral
AAUCAACGCUGGCGGCGUGCCUCAGACAUGCAAGUCGAACGAUUAAAGCUCUCUUCGGAGAGUGUAUAGAGUGGCGCACGGGUGAGUAACACGUAAGUAAUCUACCUUCGAGUGGGGAAUACCGUCCGGAAACGGACGCUAAUACCGCAUAAUGCAUUAGCAUCGCAAGAUGCCAUUGUUAAAGAUUUAUCGCUUGAAGAGGAGCUUGCGGCAGAUUAGCUAGUUGGUAAGGUAACGGCUUACCAAGGCUACGAUCUGUAACCGGUCUUAGAGGACGGUCGGUCACACUGACACUGAAUAACGGGUCAGACUCCUACGGGAGGCAGCAGUCGGGAAUUUUGGGCAAUGGGCGAAAGCCUGACCCAGCAACGCCGCGUGAAGGAUGAAGUAUUUCGGUAUGUAAACUUCGAAAGAAUGGGAAGAAUCAAUGACGGUACCAUUUAUAAGGUCCGGCUAACUACGUGCCAGCAGCCGCGGUAA